Molecule: ribosomal RNA, 253 nt
Filed under: uncultured bacterium
Lineage: Bacteria
Description: partial 16S ribosomal RNA
Rfam family: Bacterial small subunit ribosomal RNA
Source: RNAcentral
UACGUAGGGACCGAGCGUUGUCCGGAUUCAUUGGGCGUAAAGAGCUCGUAGGCGGCUGCUCAAGUCGAAUGUGAAAACUCGAGGCUCAACCUCGAGCCUGCAUUCGAUACUGGGCGGCUAGAGUCUGGUAGGGGGAUCUGGAAUUCCUGGUGUAGCGGUGGAAUGCGCAGAUAUCAGGAAGAACACCGGUGGCGAAGGCGGGUCUCUGGGCAGUAACUGACGCUGAGGAGCGAAAGCGUGGGGAGCGAACAGG